RNAcentral lists this ribosomal RNA (253 nucleotides) under uncultured bacterium. Its description in RNAcentral is "partial 16S ribosomal RNA". It matches the Rfam family "Bacterial small subunit ribosomal RNA", at positions 524 to 776 of the family's 1533-position model. RNAcentral also lists the same sequence under 1 other name. The record is from RNAcentral.
UACGUAGGUGGCAAGCGUUGUCCGGAUUUACUGGGCGUAAAGAGCGCGCAGGCGGCCGGCCAAGUCGGAUGUGAAAGUCCCUGGCUCAACUGGGGAAAGUCAUUCGAUACUGAUCGGCUCGAAGGCAGGAGAGGGAAGCGGAAUUCCCGGUGUAGUGGUGAAAUGCGUAGAUAUCGGGAGGAACACCAGUGGCGAAGGCGGCUUCCUGGCCUGUUCUUGACGCUGAGGCGCGAAAGCUAGGGGAGCGAACGGG